UGGGGAAUUUUGCGCAAUGGGCGAAAGCCUGACGCAGCAACGCCGCGUGCGGGAUGAAGGCCCUCGGGUCGUAAACCGCUUUCAGCAGGGACGAAAUUGACGGUACCUGCAGAAGAAGCCCCGGCUAAAUACGUGCCAGCAGCCGCGGUAAUACGUAUGGGGCAAGCGUUAUCCGGAUUCAUUGGGCGUAAAGAGCGCGUAGGCGGAUUGUUAAGCGAGAUGUGAAAACCGGGGGCUCAACCCGCGGCCUGCAUCUCGAACUGGCAGUCUUGAGUCUGGUAGAGGAAAGUGGAAUUCCUAGUGUAGCGGUGAAAUGCGCAGAUAUUAGGAGGAACACCAGUGGCGAAGGCGGCUUUCUGGGCCACGACUGACGCUGAGGCGCGAAAGCUAGGGGAGCAAACAGG
Molecule: ribosomal RNA, 404 nt
Filed under: uncultured bacterium
Lineage: Bacteria
Description: bacterial SSU rRNA
Rfam family: Bacterial small subunit ribosomal RNA
Source: RNAcentral